UUUCAAUUCUUGAACCAUAAUCAUACAAUCCAUUCUUCACUUUGUCAGCGUACUUUAUUGAUGCUGUGCUGAUCAUUGUCGGGUGGUACAAGU
Non-coding RNA from Nicotiana attenuata, 93 nucleotides. The record is from Rfam. NCBI's taxonomy places the organism in Eukaryota, Viridiplantae, Streptophyta, Magnoliopsida, Solanales, Solanaceae.